GAUGAACGCUGGCGGCGUGCCUAAUACAUGCAAGUCGAGCGAACAGACGAGGAGCUUGCUCCUCUGACGUUAGCGGCGGACGGUUGAGUAACACGUGGAUAACCUCCCUAUAAGACUGGGAUAAUUUCGGGAAACCGGAGCUAAUACCGGAUAAUAUAUUGAACCGCAUGGUUCAAUAGUGAACGACGGUUUUGCUUUCACUUAUAGAUGGAUCCGCGCCGCAUUAGCUAGUUGGUAAGGUAACGGCUUACCAAGGCAACGAUGCGUAGCCGACCUGAGAGGGUGAUCGGCCACACUGGAACUGAGACACGGUCCAGACUCCUACGGGAGGCAGCAGUAGGGAAUCUUCCGCAAUGGGCGAAAGCUUGACGGAGCAACGCCGCGUGAGUGAUGAAGGUCUUCGGAUCGUAAAACUCUGUUAUUAGGGAAGAACAAAUGUGUAAGUAACUAUGCACGUCUUGACGGUACCUAAUCAGAAAGCCACGGCUAACUACGUG
Molecule: ribosomal RNA, 497 nt
Filed under: uncultured bacterium
Lineage: Bacteria
Description: partial 16S ribosomal RNA
Rfam family: Bacterial small subunit ribosomal RNA
Source: RNAcentral